CCUAUUUAAUGUAGACGGAGAUUACAUAAGAACAUGAAUACCAGAAAACAGGGAGUAUUGAGGGUCAUCUUGGAGGUUGACCACCAUGGAAUGUAACUAAGGAAGGAUCCAGAAUGUAUGGAGGACUGCACAAAUCUAUGGAAAGCAUUCAUGACCUCCUACCACCUCCCUCUAGCUCACCAAAGAAGACUGGCCAGAAGGCAGACUUUGUGCCAUCAGUCAUCCAGAGCAAUCCAGGCCUUCAGUUAUAUACACUCCCCAAGGAAAGACGUGUAUGGAAAUAUCAUUGUUUCUUUAGGGGGCCUGACAUCCUCUGCUUGGGACCCCAGAUGCUAGUUCCUGCUUGUCAAUACAAUUCUCAUAUUGUUCCUGCCAUAAAUGAACAUAAGAGCUGAGGAAGCUCAGAGUCCAAGAAGGAAUGACUCCAUGACCUGAGGAAGAUGGCCAGGGAAUGGAACACCCAUGAUGUCCUUGAAAUCCUCUACCUGCCCUAAAUAGGACUCUUCCCAAUGUCUUAUAUCUACUGCCAUAAGUAAUCACAGCAACGCAACCAUCUCAGCAUGAACAUCCCCACGUACAGAUGAGAACCCCAGCUGACAGCAGUCAGCCAACUUGCCUAAGGGAAGAUGAAGACAGCUCUUUCCAGGCCAAGUCCACAUGACUUUCCCCUUACACAUGUUUACCCACAGAACAGGGACAUCAGACCAGUCUAGCUUCAUCAAUCCCAGGUGAAUAUGAGGCCAAAAAAAUUUUUUUAUGAGAUUAUGAGCUCCCUUUGUUUCCCCUGGUAGGAGGAGGAACAGAGGGUUCCUCUCAAGUUCAAAUUCCCCUACAUCAUUGCAUGUUCUAGACAGAAAUAAUCCAACCUUUCUGGUGAAGGUAGAAAACGGACUAGCCCACAAGCAUCUCUUCUGGCCUUAUUCACCCCUACAAGCCUGCUAGCUUAUAGAGCACAAGAACCAAAUCAAUAGAGCCAAUAUGUCACUGCCAGCAGGGCACGAGUGGCUACCAGCCUUGGGGAACAUGACGUGCUACUAAGCUGAACUAAUCACUCCUUGGCAUUUCAGGAGCAGUUGGGUUAGCAGACCACAGCACAUGCAUAAUGAAAGACAAUAAUUCCUCCAGAAGGGGAGAGUAAGAACAACAUAAUGAAUUGGCCCUUAGAAGAGGGCAGUUACUAUUUACACAGGUCAACCUAAAGCCAUAUCAGUGAUUUUUAGAGGCCAAAAAUCUGUUUUAGAAAGAAAAACCCGGAGGAUUUGGCAGAGAGGAGAUUGGGCUGCAUCCUUCAUUUCAGCAAAAGGAUUGAAUCUGGGGGAUGGACCCUCCAUCAGCAGUGUCACCCAUGAAGAAUUUAACAUGAUAAACUGAAGAAGGCAGAGAGGUCAAUUAAAGACCUAAUCAUGCUCCCUCUAGCCAAAGAAGUAUGAACUUUUACGAGAGAUGAUUUAUUAACCUGCGUACAUAUGAAUCACCCAGAAAUAUUGUUAAAAUAUACAUUCUUGGGUCUCAGCUUGAGAUUCUCAUUCAGCAGCCCUUCAGAGAAGAACAAAAAAAAAUCCAUUUUUAACUAGGUUUCCAGGUGAUUCAGAGGCAGGGAGUUCAUUAAAACAGAACAACCAUUGGAGAAAUGCUGCCCCAGACCUCUACAACAAAUCAGAAUCUCCCAUUUUCCAAGCACCCUUCAUCCCCAGGGUGUGCAAAGAAGGUAGAAGGAACUCAAAGUGUUCUCCAAGAGACCAAGGCUGGGGUUAUCAUGGCUCUGAUCUUUGUGUAACCCUCUCAGAUAUCUUCCCUACCCGAUGUCUGAUUUCAGAGGUGGCAUCCUUUCCACUCACCCCCCUCAGAUAUGCCAGGAAUCUUGAACACUAAGCAAAGAAGUCAAAGGCAGGGGGCUGGGACCCAGAAAACCAGCCCACUAGUUCUCUUGCAAUUGGUCACAUUCACCAAGGCCUCUCUCUCUCUCUGCCCACCCUCAUCAAACACAGCACCAACAGAGAGAAACAUGAGAAGAAUGAUUUCUUUUUCAAGUGGUCCUAAUGCUGCAGGAUGAAUCAGGGGUAAGCAGAAUAUUUGCAUGGUGGGGGGCGGGGGGGAAGGGUAAGAAUCACUGAUCACCUAGUUCCUGGGAAAGAGUGAGGAUUAAUCUGAAAGGUUUACAUCCUGGUCAAAAUCCAGAAAUGAUUGGAUCUGCAGAAAGAACUGGAGAGAGAUCCACUAAGUGCCUUGUACCUCACCAACUUCGGGAACCCCCAGCACAUAAAGUAGUGGGGUGCCAGGUGGGGAAACUUCACUCGCCCAAACACCUUCCCUGUGGCUGAGAGCAAGGGCAUGUCCCUACGGAGCUGCGGUGCUGUGACUUGCAUCCAUGGCGAAGCCUGUUGUGUAGACGCACACGCACCCUCUUACCUCUGCUCUUCAAGAGGAACCACUCACAGGCUGCCCGCGCAGACAGCGUUGGGGACCUGCUCUGUCUGGCUCUUAGAGCUGCCUCUUGUCUCCGCACACAGCUCUGUCGAGGUUCUUGGUCCAUUCCAGAGUCGAACAGUCACCCUCCACUACUGCCCCAACCGUCACCCCCAUUCCCAGGUCGAGAUGAUUCUGAAAGCUCAGCCUCCCUCCUUGACUGGAUCUCAAACGGAGAGAUGGCGAAGAACGUAAAUUCAGAACCAAGGACAGCGGCACAACCGGUGGUGGGAGAGGAGGGGCAGCACCGGCCUUGGCUUCUGUCCUUAGAAACUGAAAAGUCUCAGGUCGCGCAAAUCCAGACUUGCCAAGAAUACCCUUCUCUCUCCCUGGAGGUCAGAAUCUCUGGCCGCGCGCCCUGGGGUCCCGGACUUGGGUGCGGGGCAGAAAGUGCCGUCCCGAGAUCGUCGGGAGCCAGCCGCCCUGCGAAGCUCCGGCUCGACAAGGGUGGCUCACCGCACUCCGCGGGAGGCUGCCCC
Long non-coding RNA from Herpailurus yagouaroundi (jaguarundi), 2945 nucleotides. RefSeq lists it as uncharacterized. The transcript is spliced from 3 exons. The record is from RefSeq and is a predicted model, not a curated record. Lineage: Eukaryota; Metazoa; Chordata; Mammalia; Carnivora; Felidae.